Molecule: long non-coding RNA, 2174 nt
Organism: Salvia miltiorrhiza (redroot sage)
Lineage: Eukaryota; Viridiplantae; Streptophyta; Magnoliopsida; Lamiales; Lamiaceae
Exons: 2
Source: RefSeq, a predicted model, not a curated record
ACAUGCUUCAUAGUUACAGAUUCCCGUCGAACGCAAAUCUAUCAAUAUAAAAAAAAUUCGCACGUUUCUUUUUUCUGUUCUAUUUCAUCUUCCAUUCACAGUAGAAUUCUUCUUUAUGUUGGACUCUUGAUUUCAACACUUAUCCAACUAAUUAGAAAACAAUUUCUUUGAAUAAUUUGAUCCAAAAGCAGUGGAUAUCUUCGAGCAAGUGCCAUGAAAUAAAAUCUUCAUCUUCUUAAAUUCCUAUAUGAUUGUGGACGACUUUAAGCAAAUAAGUAGAUAAGUGGGAAGAUUUUCAAUAUAAUUGGACUCCUCAAAAUUUCAGACUUCGUUCUUGAGAAGUAUAAGACUUCUACUUGUCAUGGGAAGCUAAAAUUCGUAAUUUUUUUGUAAACUCAGACGAAAAUCUGCAUCCUAAACAUUCUUCUCGUUGUUUCCUUUCUUUGGUGUUGAAGUCUUGGUGAGCUCUUCUUUCCAUGGCUUAGAGAAAUCGUUCAUGUAUUCUGCCCUCCACAUGUUCGACGAAUUGCUUGAAGAGGAUUUUCACUACUUUUGCCUUGCUUUCUUCGAUCCUUUUUUUUUUUGUUCCUGAUUAGGCUUCUUGUUUGUUCUUGCAGGGGAUCAACUGUUCUUGCGGCGGCGGUUUUUUUGGCUUCGAUUUUGCAGCAGUCAUUGGCCUUUUUAGCGGGCGCAUCAACAGUCGGAACCAGCUUGGAACGUAGAGGGAGUGGAGUUGAGAGGCUUCUCGCAGGAUUUCAGGAUGUGGGGACCGAAGCGGAGAAAACAUGACGGUGAACCAUGGCAGCAGUGCGACGUCUAUCCCAGGCAACAGCGGCGUCGACAUAUUUUGAAAAGAAGGAGAGAAGUGGAGAGUGCAGACUCGAUUAUGUUUCUAUGGCGACCUUCAGUUUGAGUGCGAGCGUUGGAGAAACAUGGAUAGCUUGUGGCAAUCGCCGACUUCUUCGGAAUGGACGCAGCAGCAGCAGGAACCGGCUUUGAGCACGGAGGGAUGGAGUGGGGUUGUACUCGGUGAGGGAGUUGCUUUGCUUGAUCACAUUCGAGCGUGGAGAGAAGCGGCGGUGGGAGUUGGAUCUGGCUCCUCAAUCAAAUGACAGCAGCAACAACAUGAUUAUGGAAUUGGUGAUUUUGCACGCAUCCAUUGAAAAGCCGUGGAGUUUUUUUUUUCAUAUAGAAGUUUUAUGUUGCCCCAACUUCAACUAUUAUUCGAGUGCAUUCAACCGAGGAAUUUCACUGAUACAAAUUGAUGGAGUGCAUUCAACCGAAGAAUUUUGCUGAUACAAAUUCGAGGGAUUUCUUCAUCUACUCAUCGGAGCUUCUCAAUAUGGAUUGGAUAAUGUUUACCUUGCACCUUUAGGUGGCUCCCAAUUGGCAUUUAUUCAGAUUCUGGGUGCGCUCGAAUCUGGGCCAUUGUGAGUCUUGCCUUUAAAGAUUGCUGGUUACAUCUUUCUCAUUGUGUGCUUCUAUGUGGACUAGAUGACUCAAUUCUUUAAUAGGUCUUGGGUGCGCUCGGACCUAGGAUUGCUCGAGUCUAGUUCCAAUGGAGUUGUUACUUUUGGCGAGCGCGUGCUUCCACUCCGCUACUACCGGUUCAAGGAGUUGUUACUUUUGGUGAGCGCUUGCUUCUACUCCAUUCCGAGGCGUCAUAAAGCUCAAAGCUCGAUACAUACGUUGGAAGCAAGGUGAAGCACUCCGCAUCGGCGCAUACUUUGGAAGCAAGGAGAAGCCCUCCAUAUCGAUGUAUACUUUGGAAGCAAGGUGAAGCACUCCGCAUCGGCGCAUACUUUGGAAGCAAGGCGAAGCCCUCCGCAUCGGCGCAUACUUUAGAAGCAAGGCAAUGCACUCCGCAUCGGCGCAUACUGUGGAAGCAAGGCGAAGCCCUCCGCAUCGGCGCAUAAGGCUCAAAGAUCAAGUUUAAGAAGAUCGAAGGCACAACUCUCGAGCUCAGAGACCAUCCAAGAAUCAACUUGAAGAUUGGAGAGAGCUCUUUCAAAGUGUGCUGAAGCUAGAUGUGGAGACGCGGAGUUUAAAUUUGAUCAAGAAAAAGCUUUGAAGGUUUGGACCCGUUUUGUCACUUGCCUCUUCACUUGUAUUAUUCCAUAACUUUCAAGCAACAUUCAUUGUUUCUUAUGAAUUAAUGUACCAUUUAACUUCAA